RNAcentral lists this long non-coding RNA (820 nucleotides) under Homo sapiens (human). RNAcentral's name for it is "HSALNT0370713". The record is from RNAcentral. Lineage: Eukaryota; Metazoa; Chordata; Mammalia; Primates; Hominidae.
AUUACUGUUAAGAUCUAUCAAAAUGUACCGAGACAGCUCUCCUUGCUGAAAUCUGAUGAACAAAAAGGCAAGCAACGUCCAGGAAGACUGUAAAAGAAUGGAUCAAAUUAAGAGCAAGAACAAAUGCAACCAAGAGAUGGGGUUUCAGCACAUUAGCCAGUAUCGUCUCGAUCUCUUCACCUCGUGAUCCGCCCACCUCGGCCUCCCCAAGUGCUGGGAUUACAGGCGUGAGCCACUGCGUUUUGCCAGUUCUCUUCCUUUAUUAAAACUACAUCAGAUGGUCUCCAUCAAUGACACAGUAAACUGGAAAGCUAGGAACAGAAGUGGAGUUGGGGACCAGCCUGUUUCCCACUUUGUGAUAUGCUGUUUAUCCUGAGAAAUUGACAAACAUCCAACUUCAGCCUCAGAUUGAGAAACUUUUAGAGUGGCCAUUCCUCCCGAAUUUUCAACUCACGUCCACCUAAUUGCUGCUCACCUUCCCAGGGUCUGUCCAGUCAGGAACAGUUUCAGAAUGUGGCUUUUUCAUCCCAGCUGCUUCCACAAUUCUAGGGCCCUUUUUCCUCUUCAGAAGAUUGACAACUGGACAUCUAUUGCCCAUUUGAAAAGAACCUACCUACAAUGGCCUUUGACCAAGCAGGCCUGCAUUCAGAACUAAAUAGUCAACGAAAGGGCACAUUUUCCAACCUCAACCCAGCUAGCUAAGAGUUUCCCAUGAUACCUUGAAGAGCAUCACUUUGCCACAUCCUCUACCCUUCUCUGUAUCUAUGGGCUAGCCUGGGUUGAAACUGCUAAAAUAAAAGACAAAGGAAUGCUUCCUCAU